GGCCUUGUGGUCUAGCGGUAUGAUUCUCGCUUAGGGUGCGAGAGGUCCCGGAUUCGAUCUCCGGCAAGACCC
This is a non-coding RNA of Phytophthora infestans T30-4, 72 nucleotides long. Lineage: Eukaryota; Oomycota; Peronosporomycetes; Peronosporales; Peronosporaceae. The record is from Rfam.